This 60-nucleotide transfer RNA is filed under the name Caprella penantis. RNAcentral's name for it is "tRNA-Arg". Lineage: Eukaryota; Metazoa; Arthropoda; Malacostraca; Amphipoda; Caprellidae. The record is from RNAcentral.
UAGAUAGUAGUAUAAAUAAAUACACUCGACUUCGAACCGAGAAACGUUCAGCCUAUCUAC